GGGUUAGUAGAUUGGUCGUGCCAUCGGUAUGUACUGGUCUUACUGAUUCCUCCUUCCUGAUGAACCGUAAUGCCAUUAAUUUGGUGUUGCGGGGAAACUGGACUGUUACUUUGAAAAAAUUAGAGUGUUUAAAGCAGGCUAACGCUUGAAUACAUUAGCAUGGAAUAAUGAAAUAGGACGUUCGAUCCUAUUUUGUUGGUUUCUAGGAUUGACGUA
RNAcentral lists this ribosomal RNA (216 nucleotides) under uncultured Glomus. Its description in RNAcentral is "partial small subunit ribosomal RNA". The stretch from base 40 to 216 matches the Rfam family "Eukaryotic small subunit ribosomal RNA", at positions 686 to 864 of the family's 1831-position model. Lineage: Eukaryota; Fungi; Glomeromycota; Glomeromycetes; Glomerales; Glomeraceae. The record is from RNAcentral.